Molecule: long non-coding RNA, 616 nt
Filed under: Gouania willdenowi (blunt-snouted clingfish)
Lineage: Eukaryota; Metazoa; Chordata; Actinopteri; Blenniiformes; Gobiesocidae
Description: lncRNA (ENSGWIG00000002737.1)
Source: RNAcentral
UUUUCAAAGUAAAUCAGACAGAACAGAUCAAUAGCUCUCUCUAUUAUUUGCCUGACCUUUGCCUGCUCUGUUUUCUGUCUAAUUCUGCAGACCCAAGGUGAACUAUCCCGCGACCUGCCACCUAUAGGCUGUUAAAGACAAUCAGAAAAUACCAUAUAUGAACUACUGGGUGCAGUGUCGCUUCACCUUUUACAUUGUGAAGAAGAGUUGCACAACAGAAGAAGAACCAACCUAAAGCCUCAAAAGUUUGGGACCAUUUCACUGAAAACUUUUACAACUCACCUGAGACCAUCCCUUCUCGGACCAGAUGAUCGGAGCGCCUCGUUCCUGUCUCCAUUGAAUAUCAGAGCUUUCAUCGUUGGAGAGUGGGUCGAUUCGGCAAGAGAAGCUUAAGAGAAUGAGGAAACGCAGCAAACCACUGACAUUCAACACCUUCUCAGUUGUGGCGCUCCAGGAAAAAGACGUGAGUCUGUCCUGACAGCCUUGAUGUCCUCAGGUGUCUUUGUCCCUUUGCUCAUUCAAUGUAAAGAAUACCAGCGAUGAAAAUGAAUUAAAACAUUUUUGAUUCUAGCUUAGUAGUGCAUAAUAAAGGAUAUCUCAUCUCAUAAUGAUUGCA